GCCGUGAUCGUCUAGUGGUUAGGACCCUACGUUGUGGUAACUACUAGAUAUAAAUCAGUAGAAACCCAGGUUCGAAUCCUGGUCACGGCA
This 90-nucleotide transfer RNA is filed under the name Daphnia pulex (common water flea). It matches the Rfam family "tRNA". Rfam says of the family: Transfer RNA (tRNA) molecules are approximately 80 nucleotides in length. Their secondary structure includes four short double-helical elements and three loops (D, anti-codon, and T loops). Further hydrogen bonds mediate the characteristic L-shaped molecular structure. tRNAs have two regions of fundamental functional importance: the anti-codon, which is responsible for specific mRNA codon recognition, and the 3' end, to which the tRNAs corresponding amino acid is attached (by aminoacyl-tRNA synthetases). tRNAs cope with the degeneracy of the genetic code in two manners: having more than one tRNA (with a specific anti-codon) for a particular amino acid; and 'wobble' base-pairing, i.e. permitting non-standard base-pairing at the 3rd anti-codon position. Lineage: Eukaryota; Metazoa; Arthropoda; Branchiopoda; Diplostraca; Daphniidae. The record is from Rfam by way of RNAcentral.